This 396-nucleotide ribosomal RNA is filed under the name uncultured bacterium. RNAcentral describes it as "partial 16S ribosomal RNA". It matches the Rfam family "Bacterial small subunit ribosomal RNA", at positions 523 to 918 of the family's 1533-position model. The record is from RNAcentral.
AUACGGAGGGUGCAAGCGUUAAUCGGAAUUACUGGGCGUAAAGCGCACGCAGGCGGUCAAUUAAGUCAGAUGUGAAAGCCCCGAGCUUAACUUGGGAAUUGCAUCUGAAACUGGUUGGCUAGAGUCUUGUAGAGGGGGGUAGAAUUCCACGUGUAGCGGUGAAAUGCGUGGAGAUGUGGAGGAAUACCGGUGGCGAAGGCGGCCCCCUGGACAAAGACUGACGCUCAGGUGCGAAAGCGUGGGGAGCAAACAGGAUUAUAUACCCUGGUAGUCCACGCUGUAAACGAUGUCGAUUUAGAGGUUGUGGUCUUGAACCGUGGCUUCUGGAGCUAACGCGUUAAAUCGACCGCCUGGGGAGUACGGCCGCAAGGUUAAAACUCAAAUGAAUUGGCGGGG